This 2930-nucleotide ribosomal RNA is filed under the name Escherichia coli. RNAcentral's name for it is "23S ribosomal RNA". It matches the Rfam family "Bacterial large subunit ribosomal RNA". The record is from RNAcentral. Lineage: Bacteria; Pseudomonadati; Pseudomonadota; Gammaproteobacteria; Enterobacterales; Enterobacteriaceae.
GGGUUGUGAGGUUAAGCGACUAAGCGUACACGGUGGAUGCCCUGGCAGUCAGAGGCGAUGAAGGACGUGCUAAUCUGCGAUAAGCGUCGGUAAGGUGAUAUGAACCGUUAUAACCGGCGAUUUCCGAAUGGGGAAACCCAGUGUGUUUCGACACACUAUCAUUAACUGAAUCCAUAGGUUAAUGAGGCGAACCGGGGGAACUGAAACAUCUAAGUACCCCGAGGAAAAGAAAUCAACCGAGAUUCCCCCAGUAGCGGCGAGCGAACGGGGAGGAGCCCAGAGUCUGAAUCAGUGUGUGUGUUAGUGGAAGCGUCUGGAAAGGCGCGCGAUACAGGGUGACAGCCCCGUACACAAAAAUGCACAUACUGUGAGCUCGAUGAGUAGGGCGGGACACGUGGUAUCCUGUCUGAAUAUGGGGGGACCAUCCUCCAAGGCUAAAUACUCCUGACUGACCGAUAGUGAACCAGUACCGUGAGGGAAAGGCGAAAAGAACCCCGGCGAGGGGAGUGAAAAAGAACCUGAAACCGUGUACGUACAAGCAGUGGGAGCCUCUUUUAUGGGGUGACUGCGUACCUUUUGUAUAAUGGGUCAGCGACUUAUAUUCUGUAGCAAGGUUAACCGAAUAGGGGAGCCGAAGGGAAACCGAGUCUUAACUGGGCGUUAAGUUGCAGGGUAUAGACCCGAAACCCGGUGAUCUAGCCAUGGGCAGGUUGAAGGUUGGGUAACACUAACUGGAGGACCGAACCGACUAAUGUUGAAAAAUUAGCGGAUGACUUGUGGCUGGGGGUGAAAGGCCAAUCAAACCGGGAGAUAGCUGGUUCUCCCCGAAAGCUAUUUAGGUAGCGCCUCGUGAAUUCAUCUCCGGGGGUAGAGCACUGUUUCGGCAAGGGGGUCAUCCCGACUUACCAACCCGAUGCAAACUGCGAAUACCGGAGAAUGUUAUCACGGGAGACACACGGCGGGUGCUAACGUCCGUCGUGAAGAGGGAAACAACCCAGACCGCCAGCUAAGGUCCCAAAGUCAUGGUUAAGUGGGAAACGAUGUGGGAAGGCCCAGACAGCCAGGAUGUUGGCUUAGAAGCAGCCAUCAUUUAAAGAAAGCGUAAUAGCUCACUGGUCGAGUCGGCCUGCGCGGAAGAUGUAACGGGGCUAAACCAUGCACCGAAGCUGCGGCAGCGACGCUUAUGCGUUGUUGGGUAGGGGAGCGUUCUGUAAGCCUGUGAAGGUGUGCUGUGAGGCAUGCUGGAGGUAUCAGAAGUGCGAAUGCUGACAUAAGUAACGAUAAAGCGGGUGAAAAGCCCGCUCGCCGGAAGACCAAGGGUUCCUGUCCAACGUUAAUCGGGGCAGGGUGAGUCGACCCCUAAGGCGAGGCCGAAAGGCGUAGUCGAUGGGAAACAGGUUAAUAUUCCUGUACUUGGUGUUACUGCGAAGGGGGGACGGAGAAGGCUAUGUUGGCCGGGCGACGGUUGUCCCGGUUUAAGCGUGUAGGCUGGUUUUCCAGGCAAAUCCGGAAAAUCAAGGCUGAGGCGUGAUGACGAGGCACUACGGUGCUGAAGCAACAAAUGCCCUGCUUCCAGGAAAAGCCUCUAAGCAUCAGGUAACAUCAAAUCGUACCCCAAACCGACACAGGUGGUCAGGUAGAGAAUACCAAGGCGCUUGAGAGAACUCGGGUGAAGGAACUAGGCAAAAUGGUGCCGUAACUUCGGGAGAAGGCACGCUGAUAUGUAGGUGAAGUCCCUUGCGGAUGGAGCUGAAAUCAGUCGAAGAUACCAGCUGGCUGCAACUGUUUAUUAAAAACACAGCACUGUGCAAACACGAAAGUGGACGUAUACGGUGUGACGCCUGCCCGGUGCCGGAAGGUUAAUUGAUGGGGUCAGCGCAAGCGAAGCUCUUGAUCGAAGCCCCGGUAAACGGCGGCCGUAACUAUAACGGUCCUAAGGUAGCGAAAUUCCUUGUCGGGUAAGUUCCGACCUGCACGAAUGGCGUAAUGAUGGCCAGGCUGUCUCCACCCGAGACUCAGUGAAAUUGAACUCGCUGUGAAGAUGCAGUGUACCCGCGGCAAGACGGAAAGACCCCGUGAACCUUUACUAUAGCUUGACACUGAACAUUGAGCCUUGAUGUGUAGGAUAGGUGGGAGGCUUUGAAGUGUGGACGCCAGUCUGCAUGGAGCCGACCUUGAAAUACCACCCUUUAAUGUUUGAUGUUCUAACGUUGGCCCCUAAUCGGGGUUGCGGACAGUGUCUGGUGGGUAGUUUGACUGGGGCGGUCUCCUCCUAAAGAGUAACGGAGGAGCACGAAGGUUGGCUAAUCCUGGUCGGACAUCAGGAGGUUAGUGCAAUGGCAUAAGCCAGCUUGACUGCGAGCGUGACGGCGCGAGCAGGUGCGAAAGCAGGUCAUAGUGAUCCGGUGGUUCUGAAUGGAAGGGCCAUCGCUCAACGGAUAAAAGGUACUCCGGGGAUAACAGGCUGAUACCGCCCAAGAGUUCAUAUCGACGGCGGUGUUUGGCACCUCGAUGUCGGCUCAUCACAUCCUGGGGCUGAAGUAGGUCCCAAGGGUAUGGCUGUUCGCCAUUUAAAGUGGUACGCGAGCUGGGUUUAGAACGUCGUGAGACAGUUCGGUCCCUAUCUGCCGUGGGCGCUGGAGAACUGAGGGGGGCUGCUCCUAGUACGAGAGGACCGGAGUGGACGCAUCACUGGUGUUCGGGUUGUCAUGCCAAUGGCACUGCCCGGUAGCUAAAUGCGGAAGAGAUAAGUGCUGAAAGCAUCUAAGCACGAAACUUGCCCCGAGAUGAGUUCUCCCUGACUCCUUGAGAGUCCUGAAGGAACGUUGAAGACGACGACGUUGAUAGGCCGGGUGUGUAAGCGCAGCGAUGCGUUGAGCUAACCGGUACUAAUGAACCGUGAGGCUUAACCUUACAACGCCGAAGCUGUU